This is a long non-coding RNA of Taeniopygia guttata (zebra finch), 30885 nucleotides long. RefSeq lists it as uncharacterized. Lineage: Eukaryota; Metazoa; Chordata; Aves; Passeriformes; Estrildidae. The record is from RefSeq and is a predicted model, not a curated record.
GACCGGGGCUGGGCAGCCUCGGGGCCGCUCCAGCGCUGCCGCCCAUGGCAGGACGGGACGUUUCGGGAAUUUGGAAACCCUCCUGGCCCGGCUGGGAUCGGCUGCUGGCGGGGAAGGGGGAGCUGGGGGCCGCUGGCUUCAGCGGGUUUCGCUUCUGCAAAUCCACACCUGUAGGUUUUGCUGAGAACACGAGUAUGGCAAAUUUGGAGUAAAAUAGUAAUAAUUUUGUUUAUCAUAACCGUGACCACUCUGUGCUCAGCCUGGAACUCUGCUCCAGCCAGUGUGACACAGCGACAGAAGAUGAGAACAGAGAGCCCAGCAGGGAUCUCAGCUGUAACCUUUGAUCAUACCUGGAUGCAGCACAACCAUGUACAGCCCUUCUGCAGCUGACAGCAGCUCUGUGCUGGGCUCAGUGCCUACAAAGUUAUUUGGGUCCUGCCCACACAGCAUCACCUGUGCUGGAGGACAGCUGAGCCAUCUCCUUCUGCACCCUUCAGUCCUGGCAGGAGAGUGUCUGGGGAAACCUAUGGAGCUGCAGCUCAAGCUGCUGAAUUUCUGGACAGCACCUUCUGCUGACUGUAUAAACAGCCCUAUGCUGUGUAUUUUCUGAAUGCUUGAGUAGGCUGUUUGAACGUUAUUUUAACAUGGGGCUUUUUUUGUUUUUUCUCCUUAAUGGAGUAUUUAUUAUACACUCCUGCAUCUAUUGUGCCUUUAGUUCCACUGUUCUCUGGUGUACAGUGCAUGUUUACUUGUCUUUGUUUGAAAUAAUCUAUAAAUAAAUUAGGCAACGUGCACUGUCAAACAGUAGUGCUCUGUGGUUUGCAAUCCUUGCAAAUUGUGCCAAAUCCCAUUAUUGAGCUAGAAACCUAUAGCUGCUCCUUUUGUCUCCUUUCUGUUGCACAACCAGGAACCUGUUCAGUGAUACUGUUGGAUGUCAGAGAUGUGGAAGAUGUUCAAGGCCAGAGGGUGCUGAGCUUAAUAUUCACUCCUGAGUGUUGCAGAGAAAACAUGUCAAAAAGCAUUUCGUGGGUGGAAAAUGCCUUAUUCUUUGAAACAGAAUGUUUGACAGGACAGGUUGGUUUGAGAGAAGUUAUUUAGAAGACAAACAGGUGUGAAAAGCACCUGCAGGCCUUAGGAUUUCAGUGUUCAAAAUUCAGAGCUCCAAUAGACAAGAGUUACAAGGUUUUUUGUCACUGCUCUGUGGUGCUGGAAGUCUUUCAGGCUCAGCUGAGCCCACUCCUGGGGGACAGCAGGAAACAAUGAGACUCUUAGGUUCAGCCUUUGGACAUUCUCAGACCUCCUGAGCCUCCUGGAAGUGCUGACCUCCAGGGUGGCUACAUCAGCACAAAUUGGCUCUGUAGGUGGGUUGGAUUUCUUAGAUUACAUGUCAGGUUGACAAAAUAAAGUCAAGUCAAUAAGGAGGCCUGAGGCUUAAACUAAAAUGUUGCUUUACAGUCCUGAAAUGAAAAUGCCCUUAUUGCAAUACAGACUGGAAGCAAUGAUGGUCUUCAAAGCACCUUAUCCUCUCACCAUGCUAGGCUCCCUCCUCCUGCAGUAUCUCUGGAGAGGAGGUGUCCAUGCUCUGCAAACAAAACUGUUUAGCAGGUUCAUUCAGUCCUGCUAGGUUGCGUUGGAUUUAUUCUGUGAUUGAGGUUUUAAUCUCAGAAAGGUGGGCUGUAGUUGUCCCAAAAGAUCUCCUAUUCAAUGACACUGAAAAGAUAUCUUCCUAUGAUAAGCUGAAAUAAAACAUAAUGAGCCAAAAAUUACUUUCAUGUUAUCUGUAUUUCUGAAGAAAUCUCAGAGAAAAUAUGUCAUCAACCACCUUUAUAAUAGGGCAUCACAUAAUCAUUGUCUGUGAAUGUCUUAAUAUAAUAAAUCAUCAGUGGAAAGCAAACAGUGCAUUGUCCACCUUCAUUUUCUGUCUUCUGGAGCUCUAAGAGAAUUAAAUAAACAUUUAUUAAAUGCUCCUAUGAGAAAAUUAUUCAAAUAAGAUGAGUGGCUUGUCCCACAGAAACAGGAUGGAUAUUAUAGGGCAAAAAAUAGCUUUGUGUGUCCUGCACUGUGUCGUAAAACCAGAAUUAAUUGCACCAGCUAUUUCAAAACCUUGAUAUAACUUAAACUCUAUUCAGAAUAUUUCUAUUCUUUGCCCACUGCAUUCUCCAAAUAAGCAUCUUAGUUUCAAAUGUAUUUUCAGAUUGUAAAUAGUGGCAUGAGAUGAUGAAAAUGCAGGUUUUCCCCCUAAAUAAAUGGUUCAAUGAAAUAUGCCCUAAGGUCACUGAGUUGCUUGAAGAGUUACUGGGUUGUGCCUUGAUCUGCAGCAGCUGCUACAGUUAAACAUGCUGUAUCAUGAUGUCUGGGAUCUUAGCAAUGGGGAUAAAGCCAGGCAAGUGAUAAUAGAAGUAUCUGUAAAUAAAAACAGACUGGCGGAGGUAGGGUCACUGCAAACAGAAGCAAUGCAUGCUGUUCAGCUGAGCAAAUAUCUGUCACACAAUGCAGCUGACACGAGACUAGCCAUAAUUAAUGGGAUUAAUAAGGUAAUCCAACUGUUAAAAUAUAAAAUGGUUAAUUCCUGUGACAUCUGAAUUUGGAUUAACCUGUGAAUAGUUGUUAAUUUUAGAAAAAAAUCUUCCAUAACAGUGCAGAGUGUUUAGGGUAACUCACCAAAACAAGCAUUUACUAGUAAAUAAAAAUAAACAAAAGCAAUAUUAAUUUUCUUUAUGCUUCCCCAGUGUCAAUAUUAAACAUUUUCUAUUGUUCUGACAUCUGGGCCAUUAAAUGGAUAAAGAUAAUAGGGACUGGAAAAAUGGCCAGCCAAGCUACCCAUGAAGUUUGGGUAUUAUGAAAUACUGAUUACAACUAUGAUGUCUGAAUUUGAAUUUGUAAUCCAGCCUCUGGAGGUAAAAAAAAAAAAAAAUCCAACCCAACAGUGACAAAAAACAUUCCCUUAAAAAAAAACAAUUUCUCCGGAAACUCAGUCAAAAACUGACAUAACUGUAUAAGCAAAGAGGAAUUUGUGCAUCCAGUGCUGUAUUCCUCAGUAUCAGCUUUUGGAGCAUAGCAAGUGCAUGUGUUUAGUAAACCAAGCCAGAUAUUUGACUUGGUUGGCACAUGAGGUCAGUUCGCUUUUGCUGCCCUGUGAAGUGUGGGGGAUAAACAGGGCAGCAAUAAGCAAUCGAGUGGAGAGCUGUGUACAUGCAUUUCCCACACAGGACAGAAUGGAUUUCUGCAGGAUGUAAAUGCUCUUCUGACAAUGAGGCUGCUUGAUUUCUUUCUCUCUCUUUACUUCAGGGUCUCUAAAGAGGCUGCUUGGUUUCUUUCUCUCUCUUUACUUCAGGGUCUCUAAAGAAUGCACUAAUUUAUCCUUAUGACCUGUUUUAUGAUUUUACCACCUAUCUUUUCUUUUAUUCCUAUGCAUGUAUAUGUAUGAACAUUUCCUUCAUACAAUGUUACAAGUGCUUUUAGUUCUCUUUGUAUGGAGUCCUCCAAAACUCACAACACUAACGUUCAAGGGCACAAGCUUGAUAACAGCAAAAAGUUACAUCACUUUUGAUUUUUUUUUUUUUACAUCAGUUUCCCAAAUAACUUAUAUUCUCUGUAUGUACCUGAAGUCAAACUAAUCAUUAAGACUAAUUUUAUAAAACAUACAAAGUCUCUUUGCUUCCAUGCAUGGGGGUUUCUAAAAUGUGAAUCACUUCUUUAUCAUGUGGGGGACCGCACACCGGAACAGGUUGUCCAGAGAGGCUGUGAAGCCUCCCUCACCAGAGAUAUUCAAGAACUGUCUGGACACCAUCCUGUGCUGUAUGCUCUGGAAUGACCCUUCUUGAACAGGGAGGUUGGACCAGGUGACCCCUGUGGUGCCUUCCAAUGUGACCCAUUCUGAUUCUGUGAAAGAUUGGAGACCCAAGAGGGCUUGUGUCAUACACCUACAAACAGGAUCUUUUACAGAUACACAGAGAUGUAGGUAAGCAAUCUCACACAGAAUACCAUGUGUGAUGACUGUCAUUUUAGCUUUUCACAAGUCUAAAAUCUAAGAAUUAAGUCUCAGUGUACCAGUUUCAUGCUGUCAGUGCUGCGUCCACAAUAAACACCUUGGUGAAGUAUAAGGGUGACAUUUAAACUGCUUAUUUACACAAGAGAGAUUGUAUGUGGUGUGCAAAAGCAUGAGUUUGCAGUGAAUGAGGCACUCUGUACUAACUCCCAUGGUGCUGCUGGUGAGGGCUGCACAUCCCCACUCCACUUGCAGAAGUGGGGCCUUUGAGGGGACAGCAGGAGAGACAAACCCUAAGAAGGACAGGAAGAAGGAAUAUGCCUUCAAAAAGAAUGCAUCUUCAGAGUCCAUUGGUCCUGCCAGAAUGCCUCUAACACCUGUCAGAGCUGUCACAGUGUCUCCCUGCCUGCACGGGACUCACUGCUAUCCCCAUCUCUCAUCGCAGGGCUGGGGCUGGGGCUGCUCUACAGGGAUCCCUGGUUCCCACUGCCGGAGCUGUAACAGGCCCCACACAGCCUGGGGGAAGGGGUUUUGGUUCCUGGAUGAAAAUGCAGUUGAUUUAAACCUGUUUUGACAAAGCAAAAUGAGUUUGUCGUGAAAGCACAUACAAAAUGUAAUGACAGAGAAGUUAGGUUAAGGGUGGAGCCAGUGCAACAGACUUGCUUGAUUUGACUUGAUCCAAGAGCCCACUGAACAAUCCAGAUGAGAACAUUCCCCCAACCUUCCCCUUUUUUCAUUUUGGGGCUUAGUACAUUCUGCUGCUUUAUCUCUUCUGAAACCAGUAAGCACCAGAUUAGCUUAAAGGGGACCUUUCUUCCCUACCUGUCUGUAAUGGUAUUACUUAUGGCAAAGUCUAAUUUUCUGCUUGUUUCUAAGUUGAGGGAUAUAGAUUAUUGUCUCAGUUCCCUGCAUUUUCAAUAUGUACAUUCAAUUUAAUGUGUAAAAUAAUGACUUAAUUAACUCUUAGUUGCUCUUAUUUUUUAUUUUGCUGGCCUCUCCGAACUUCAGUGCUGUUUUUCCAUGAACUGUUAAUAAUUCAAUUCUGCCUUUAUAAGCUAGUCUUGUGAUACAGGCAAAAAUAUUUUCUCAGAUGCCACAGAUAUGGCUCAUUUUAUGCAAAAUAUCUGUUGUGCUUAUUACACAAUAAGCAAGUACCCGUCCUUGCACAACCUGGUGCUGCCUUCACUAUGAGGAGAGGAGAGCUGGGCACCUCCUUGUUGUGACUCUUCACUAUCAGGACUCAGACUGGCAGCAGGGGAUUGCUGAUUGUCACUGGGAAAGUUGUGGAGCUCUUGAAGACAAGCAGUUAGCUCACAGUAAAUGAGCUCAUGGCACUAUUUGGGGGGUGGCAUCAAUUCACAACUAAAUGAGAGACUUUGAGUUGUCUGGAGGAUAGGGCUGAAGAAGCUGCUUUGGUCAGAGAAAGGGAGCCUUGGCUAGGGACUGGUGGAACUUGUGAAUGAGGUCUGAGAGCCUCAUCCAGGUAAUUAGGUGCUGAAAUCAGACUAUCAUCGCAUGCUGAGCCAUGUGCACCCACCUGGUGUUACACUGACGUGAGCUGCCACCUCACUGAAGGAUGAACAUGUGCAUAAUAUCAUCCCGUUUUGAAAGGAUGUUAACAGAGCUGUAUCUGUUUUGAUUUUUUCUAUUGUCUUGAAUGUUGCAAAAUUAGGAGUGCUUUACUUUUUGAUCAGUUUUUUUAAUAGAUGUUUGCUCCUUGGGUGAAUGACAGGACCUUUUGUUUGCUUACUUCUUUUGUUAAUGGUCUGCUUUGAACCCAUGAUAAUAUACUGCUAACAGAAGAGAAACUGGAAUGUAGGCAGCUGGAAAAGUUGUCUUCCUCACCAAGUACCUGGGCUGUAAAUGACUGCAAACACUUAAUCGUGGUGAGUGCUCUCUCUGUACAGCAGCUGUUCAGAGUGUCAGCACAAGUUGACACUUUGUCAGUAACACUGAGCUAACUAUCGAUGAUAAGAUAAUGCUCUACUGGUCUUCUCUUCAGGAAGAGGUGCAAUGGUACCUCAAGGCACAAAACACAGAGGACAUAACUGUGAGGUAACUGGACAGAAGUUUACUGCUCCAUGUCAUACUGUUACAGAUUCUUAUUUGUAACAAACACUAAUUCAGACUGACCUGAUGGCUGAAAGGUAUCAAAAGAAGAUAAUGACAUAAUUGUAUAAAGUCAUGCUUGUUGUUCUCUAGUCUGGAAAUUUUCAAGAAAGAGAGAGGGAAAAAUGUCUAAGUAAAAAAUGUGACUGAUGUGGAAGAGGACACUUCAGGAAAUAGGUGCACCUCAGGUCUGUAAGCUUACCUACUAUAGUCUGAAGCAUGAAUGCCAGGUAAUGUAAUUUAAUGAAAGGUCUGGCCAAACAAAGGCAGGGCCAGAGUAGUUUGCCUGUGGGAAGCACCACCAUGACGACCUGUUUGAGUAUGUUCAGUUCAGUACUUUAUGUAAAAAAAAUAGCUUGUGCCAUUAUUUUUUUUGCCUUUUUUUUUUCAUUAGAACUUUAAAAAAUACUUUAGAAAUGUUUUUCAGGAUUGUCAUUUGAAACUUGUACUGAUGUGUCUACUGUAAGUUUCUAUUAAAUUGUAGUUGUUCAUCUUUUAAAGACAAGGCAAACAAAGAAUUGGAGGAGAGAGAGUCAGAGACUAAAAGAGGAUGAUAAAUUCAUUCCUGUUUUACAUAUCAUUUUUAAUUUUUCAUUCAAGUUUGAUGUUCACAGAAUGUACUUUCCCUUUGCUUUUUCUUUUGAUUAACCUGUCAGCAUAAUGAUGCUCUUCAUUAGACAUAAGCAUACAUAAAUAUUUAAUUUGAUAGAGAAGUCCGGUUGCCUGCAUUGUCCUGCACUGAAACAAGUCAAAGGAUAUAUCUGUGGGAAAACUUAGAGAGAGCAGAAGCAGCACUGCUGAAAGCAGUGUCCUUACACCUUCUGGUAACAAAGAACUUUUUUCAGAUAGAGAGCACAAGGAGUAGUAAACAGUUUGUUCCUGGAUGUCUUCUGAAAUACUGAAAGGAUUUGCUGGUUUUAUGAACUCCUACACAGCUAAAGCUCUGUCUGUUUCUCAUCUGUACCCGAGAUGCUUUGGUGACACAGUCAGCAUGCUUAUAAAGUGACAUAUGUAUAUGGAGAGAGAUGUGCCACUGUCCCUGACAGAGAAAAUAUGCAGGUGGCAUUUUUUAUUCAGUGUUUGCUCUUGAUGUCUGUUCUUGCUUAUUCUUCCAUUAGCCACUGUUUUCCAGCAUUUGUUCAACCUCCAAGAGCACUGCCUGCCCUGAAACAGUGAACUAAUUGUAAACUAAUUGCAAACUCCAUAUUCCCUCCCCCUUCCUUUAUUAAAUGUGUUUACAUCAGACAGGAAAAUAAGGAAGUAGUUUUUCUGUAGCUUUGAACUUCUGCAGCUACUAUUGGACAUUUGGAUGAUUGGGCACUCGGCACCUCAGAAAAUCCUAUUUCAGGUGUUUAAAGUAAUCUUUUUUUGCUGAGUUGCUUCAAGCUGUGCAUAAGCAGAUAAACUGAGUGCAUAUUUUUCAGUGACACUCGGAAUUAGAAGAUUUAAAUACAGACCAUUUCCACAGCAAGGAAGUCAAAUUCAAAUGUUUUAGAUCCUACAUAUGUGAGCUUUGAAAAACUGUAAAUGUAAGACAUAGAUAAGUAAAACAAAUCUGUCAGGAAAAGAGUCUGUACUAUAUCUUAGUGUUACAUGAAACACAUCAAAGAGUUUCUUGCACUGGGACUUUAACAUCAGUACCUUAACACCAGUAAAUACUCUGCUUUACUAGAAAUCAGCUGUUGAUUUAAUAAUUGUGUGGUGACCUGCUGCCUGCAGCUAGGCCAUUUCCCUUGGCACCACGAAAUGCAGACAUUUAAUGAAUUCCUGAUUCAUUGCUUGGAAUCAUCCUUCCUGUGAUGUCUAUGCCAGACUACCAGAGGAUCCCCAGCUGCCUCACAGCCAUUAAGGCACCUGUGGAGUAGCCAGUGAAUAAGUCAUGUUACCUCUGUUUGAGAUGAGGUAGGCAUGGGAGACAAAGAUGCCUUAAAGGACAUGAUGGAAGACAGAGAAAUUUUUUUGUUGUGUAGCCAAUUGUUCCAUUGGCUCCAGCCCCAACAUUUCAUGAUGAGACUCCUCAUGGUGAACAGGAAAAUGGACUAGGCACAUGGAAUCUCAUGCUGGCCUAUAAUAAUAAAAAUCAUUACCCUGUUGUUUCAUAGUUGAAAAGGGCUCAAAGUAGGAAAAUAACUGACUUCUUUUAGUUUGGAACCUCUGUCCUCUUCCUUGGCACUUUCCUAGAGGUAGGGAUAGGUGACCCUGCUUCCCAGCUUCCAGUACCAACCUGGGCUGAACAGGCAAAGGUUACAUUUCUGUCCCUUCUUUUAUGUAUUGGCUUCCUUGAAACAGCAGGAAGAACACCACAAAGUGUAGCAGAUUCAAUGUUUUGGCAUGAGUAUGGCAGGAGUAUUUUAUUUUAUUUUUCAGUGAGAUUCCACUUAGGUUGUUUUGAAUAUUUUCUUCCUCUCUGCAUUUCUUGAUAGUGGUUAUUUUAAAAUAUUCUUUGAUCGUGCUGCCUUAAUGUUGUUUAUCUAACAGAGAGUAGCCCUUUGUCUCACAAGAGCAGGUUUGCUCCCUCUCUGCCUUGACACAUGCUGCCGAACCCAGCUGAUUUCUUGCUGUGCAGCAGAUCUAUUCCUGGUUUUAUGAGUGGAAGGGCUGUUUGCCUUGUGGAGUCCAGCAGGGCUAAUAGCAUAUUUUUUUCCCCCUGAGCUAUUAUCCCAUUUGAUUACUACCUGCCUUUUUUUACUAUUUUGCAGGCUAUUUACAUGGUCAGCUGGUAAGUGAUAGGUAAGCUUAUUACUAAUUGAAUUCCUUUUUUAGGAGUGCAAUUUGGGAUGGACAGACCCCAUAUUAGGGAACAAAAAUAAUUUCCCAGGAAUAUGUAGGUCCUGACUCACAUCAGUUAUCAGGUUGAACAGCAAACUCCAUGUGCUGUGUAACUUCAUACAAAAUAUUCCCUUCCAAGAAGCAGCACUGUUCUUUAUGGCCGAAGGUUCUGGAAAGAUGAUACAGCCUUGUACAGGGAAGGUACAGCUGAGGUUGUAUAUUCACUCAGCUACUCCUCUGUGUCAAAGCACUCAGUUUCCAGGAGCAGACAGCUAUAAUUUUAACUCUUGACACUUACAAUCAAAACCUCUUUACACAUUUUUUUCCAAGCUCACAAUCAGCUAUGUUUGGUCCCCAUUGCUUCCAUAGAAAAUUUGGGGUAGGAGAGGUACUGAUGAUAGGCUUAAAAAAAAAAAAAAGGUUAAAAAUGGUUAAUCAUUAUCCAGCCACCAACAUUAGAGGCAAACUUUAGAAGCUUCUGAUAAAGACCCAUCUACCCCCACAUUCCCACUGCUGAGGAGGAAGCUUCCUUCACUCAUUCAGAGCAUGGUCAGCAGUGCUUCAGUGGUUAGUUUUCUUUGAUAAACUUUUUGAGUUUUCCUUAAUAAAAUUACUCACUUCAAAUCAGUCAGUUGUUACAAGUUGAUUCACCUUGUUUUUAUGUUUAUACUGUAUUUUCAGAAUGCCCAUUCAGACCUCAACUGCCCUAACCCUUGUAUUCAAAGCUGAAACUUUGAAACAUCCAAGGUUACUCCCAGUACUUUCUCAUAAACCUUUCAUCAGUGAGGAUAAUAACACUGAAGAGUUCCUUGGAGAGUGUAAUAAACAUUAUGAGUGCAGGACUUUUGUUGUAGGAGUCUGACCAAUGUUUUUUUGGCCCAUGUCCUAAAAUCGAAGAUAGCUCACUUUGCUCAUCUUGCCCGCUGUAUUGAGCUGUUGACUACUGAAAAAUAGAAGAAAUCUACUUUAAUAAUUGAAGAUGCUUAUGGGGAGAAAAGAAUAAAAGGGAUAGAAGGAAAAAGAAUAAAAGGCAAAUAAAAAUAGAAAGAAAAGAGAGAAAAAUUCAGAUGGGAGAAGCUCAUGAUUGGGGUAAAUUUAAUUUAAUUUAACUUAAUUUAGUUUCAUUUCGUUUCAUUUAAUUUCAUUUCAUUUCUUUCUUUUUCCCAUCAGAAACAUCUCUGAUAAUAUAAUACCAAAUUAAGAAGCUCAACACCUUCUUUAUUUUGAAAGUUUUUACUCUAUUUCUAAGCAGCAAAUAAUGUCUAGAUGCUAUUUUCAUUAUAUUGGUAUUACUAAUGUUUUAAAUCUAAUUAACAAAAUAAAUACAUCAGGAAAAUGAGAAAGAUAAUAUAGAGUUUCUGUGUACCAGCUCCUUUUUGGAUUGAGACUUAUUCUUUCCAACCUGUCCCAUGUUAAGUAACUAUGUUGUCCAAGAGAAGAGAAAUUGUAUGGAACACUGGUUCUUUUCACAUCAAUGUUUUGCCAUGAAUUUUAAUGGUAGAUUUCUCUUUGCAGUCCCAGGUUUACUGGCUCUCCCAAUGUAUCUUGUGUCAUGUUCUUGUAUGAAAUUUUGUUUUCUGAGGUAAUUCACCAUAAUUUUAAGUGUUAGAGUCUCCAAAGCUUGUUCCUUUGAACUUUACAACUAUUUCUACUUGGUUAGCUUCUUGUAUCACUGAGAAUUGUGCACCAGUGCUGACAAUGCUUCUGUUUUUAAGCCUUGAUUAGUGGUGAUGUAAUUAACAACAGAGAUCGACACAGCUUUGUGAUUAGUCACAGAGUUAUCAGUCCUUGCAGUGAAUGAGGAAGCCUACAUCUCGAACUGGUGUUUCAGGCUCUCUUCAGAUUCAGGGAGACGUCUUCAGAAAUUCAUUAUUCAAACAAUAUUUCAAAAAUUGUUCUUGUGAUCUAACCACUUUCUUAGCAAAACAAAGGAGGAAAAGGGUGUAAAAGCCAACCUAAUCAUCCUAAUUUUGUCUUUUUAAAAAGGAGGGAAUGAAAGUGGAAGUUUUAGUGAUCCAAUCAGAUUCUUUCUGUAAAUGCACACUUUAUGAAAGUAUGAUUUAUGAGCUAUAAUAUAAAUUAAAUAAAGAUAGAACAUAGCUACAUAAUGACCUAAUCCAGCAUCCCUGAGACCAAGAGAAAACAAUUAAGCAUUGUUGCAUUAAUAUGAGUUGAAAAAUAAGUACUGUUAGUAGUAGAAUUGGAAAGGCUACCUUAAAACAGCUGCAAUCAGCUGUUGCAAUGAACUUGCUGGACAAUUUUCUGUCCUUAUCUUUUAAUUGUUCUUUCAACCCUUCCUUCCUUUUCUUUUGCAUUGAGAGAAACAAUGCAAGACAUUUAUUUUCAGGAUUUUGAAGAGAGCUAUUAUUCAUUUAUCCUUAAAGAAAGUGUCAGUACUUUGCACAAUGAGCUCUUGCUCAUUUGCAGAAGAAUUUUAGUCCUGUUGAACUGUUAAACUUUUCACUAUUUUAUGUAUUAAAAACCCAAAUAGAUCUGAUUUUAGUCCUCAAAUAAACAGAAAUAAACAUUUUAGUCCUUGCUAAAAUAUAAACAGCACUGACAGACAUUGACAUUGGAGAGACAAUCCUCUUAUUAGUAUUCAAAUAAAUCAUCUAGCCUUUGGGAGUUCCUGCAUGUGUAGUCUUUAUACAUUCAGUUUGGGUAAUCUCUUUUGUAAAUCAGAACUCAUUUUUGGGUCUUGCUGAGGCUGAAUCCUGUAGUGGUCAACAGGAAAUUUCUCUCCUUGAGACCAAGGUAUGGCUGAGAAUUACAUAAAAGCUCUGUGUACAAAGAAAUACUUCAUGGGAGUUUAAAACCACAGUAAAUAUUUUGUCACCUUGGCCUUGCUUCUUUGGCUCAGUUUUUUUCUAGUCACUACCCCACACUCCCUUUGCAGUUCUUUUGCACAAUGGUGCCAAAAGGGUUCAGAGUGAAUUAAUCUUGUUUGAGGUCUCCAGGCCUUACUGCUGAUGCUCUGCAUACUUGUUUCUCUUCAGAUAGUGUUAAUCUAGGACUGCAGCAUUCUCCUUCUGAGUGAGGGAAAGAAAACUCAAAUUUAUGAUCAAUUCUCUCUUGUAUUUUUAAGAAUAACUGCAUUAUUAUUCUCUGCCCCUUGAAACCUGACUGCUUUUUCAAUAUGACAGCAGGUCUAGGAUUCAAUUUUAGCUUGCUUGCUUUGAUAAUUGAGCAAUUCUCAGGGUAGUUUUCUUUUUACCAGAGAGCUGCUGGAGCUCCGCAGAGCUUCUGCUCCUGAAAGAGGCAGCUUUGACCAUGAAGAUGCAAGAGAUAGCAGGAGAUGGUUAGGCUCCAGAGAAAAACCACAUUGUUCAAAUUUGGCAAUGGUUACCUUUGAUCCUGGUAUGAAUCCUCUGCUAUUGGAGUGCAGUAAAAAGUCUCCACCUGUUCUGAUUUUCUAGCUAGAAAAAUGGAGAUGAAGGUUUGUUGGACUUCUCAUUUGAAGACUCUUGGAAAGUUAUAAUUCAAGGAACUUCCCUCUAGUUAAUGAGGUAUUUUGAAAUUGAACUCCCCAGACCUCUAAGCCAGCUCAUUAAUUUUUAAAUAAGCCAUUAUAAAAGGUCCUAGAAUAACUUAGAGCAAACAAAUUUUAACUUCCCCAAACUUUUCCUCAUAAGUAAAACACAAGAGGUUUUAUAUGCAUGAAGAAUACAAGAAGAGUGCAUAAAAGUAAGUACAGUAUUUUGGACGUAUUUUACAUCUACUCACAGGACACUGUUAGUCCAUCUGUGUCUGAAUGAGUGUUUUGAGGAAAAAUUUGAAAAAGAUCAUUUGGAUUGCUUUGUUAUCAUUCAUGCAGGGGUGAACCAAACCAUAAAAAUUGUAAAAAGCACAUAAGAAAAAUCACUUGAAAAAAGUGCACUUAUGCAAUUCUGCAAAAAGAAGUCAUGUUCUGAAUGAUGCAAGCACUGGAGACAUCUCUUAAUCUUUGACUUUGUGUGCUUAUAAUUUUCUAAUCCCUUCUUCAAAUAGUACAUUAGUUUAAUACCAGCUAGUUACUAUAUCCAAAAAGUUUUGUUUUCUUUCUUAAGAAACUUUAGUUUUUUUGGUUUGGUUCUGUUUUUUUUUUUUUUUUUUUUUUACUAUGGCAAAGAAAACUGUGCAGAACAAUAGGGUACACUUCAUCACUUCAUUGCAUCAAAGCAGUCUCCAUUUUUGCCUCUAGCAUGGUGGCUGCAACUAUGCUGAAGCACUCACAUGCCAUAAGAAAAAGAAAGGAAAAUCUCAUCAGUGACAGCUGUACAGGGAUGAUUUUUCACUCAUUGGAGAGACUGUCAUAACUCACAGUCCUAAGAGAGUGCCUGUUUCUCACUGUCACUGGUGAGAUAAGCUAUAUUUAAUGCUGCAAUAUCAAAGCUGCCAAUUUUACAUUUGCAUUGAGUGCUACAGUUACGAAUUAAAUGCACUGCCUGCCUGGUUUUGGUUUGUGCAGAGUAAACCAAAUUUUGACUUAGUUUACAUUUUUGAUGUAAUUACAUUAGAAGGAAAAAAAAGGCCUACUCAGAAAAAGUUUCAAAGUGUGGGGUUUGGCAUUUUAGGAACAUGAGACAGGUAUGGGUUUAAAUUAUAUGAAUUUAUAUUUUACAAGCAAAGCUGCACUGAAAUAUAUGCAUGAGUGUAUUGAGGUCAGUCAUUUUCUGCAAAUUACUAUAGAGUAUCCUUGGAUAGCUCAGUGCUAAAUUUAAAAGAAAAUCAACAACCCAUCUGCUGUAACUAGUAUUGAAAAAAGGAAUUUUUAUUAUUGGCAAUGGAGAUGAAAUAUAUAUUUGUGACUGUAAGCAAUGGCAGGGUAUGAUUAGAAUAUCCUGGUUGAUUAUCUGUUUGUUUAAAUGAGGAAAAAUGCAUCAAGUUUCUUUCAGGUGGUGGACUAUAUAACAAAGUACUGAUCAGGAUUAAGCAUCACUUCUUAUUCUCUUUAAAGGACUAGUGAAGUAAUUGAAAACACUGGAUAGAGUCUGUUGUACUAAGACAGCAUAAAUCUAAAGUACGGGAGACAAACAUACAAUGGUUACACUUUUUCACUAUCCAUGUGUCCUAUGUCUGAACUAUUUAUUAACUGAAAUGUGAAUGGGCAAUGAAGGGCCAAUUUAUAUGUUACACCAAGAGAUGUAUUAUAACUGCCUUAGACAUUGAUUUCCUUCCUUUGCCUAUUCUUGAUUGGGAUAUACACACAUAGAACAGCAAUAAUGUGGGGUUUCCUUAUCAGAUCUUGGAUAUUUCCCCAGACUGUCUGCAACCAUUAACCUUGCAUAUUAUCUGACUUUAGUGAUUAGUACAAGCCACAUAAAACCGUAUUGAUGGCCUGCCCUGGGUUAGAAUGGUGAGCUGAAUUAUUGGAGGUUAGAUUUUGCUGACUUUGUGAUACAAAUGAUAGUAUUAUGCUAGUCCUGUGAAAUUGCUAAUUUGUCAUUUCUUUCAUGGUGUAGUCAAUGAUGUGGUACUAAUGAAUGAGCCACAUAAUUGUGUGAUACCGAACUGCAGCUUCUUGCCUUCUGUGUCUGUGUUAAGAGGCAGCGAAUGUCAAAUCUCUCUUUGUUCACUCACUAGUUCCUCUUGCAUUUCUGUGCCCUACUGCUAGAUGAUCAGAAACUGUUUCUACUUAAGGUUAUUGCACUUCUGUUCAUAAGCCUAAUUUUGUUUGGUUGUGCCCUUUACUUUUAUGAGAGGCUUUUGGUAGGAUUCUGUCACUUCCUUAUUCGUGUGGUUCAGCAGCGAGAGGUGCGCGCUGCAUCUGCGUGAACUUCAGCCAAUGAAGUCCUGAAACGCUCCAGGAUCUUAUGGUUGCUGCCAUUCUGAGAUCCCCUCAAGAAGUUUUUUUUCAGUGUACAUUUCAGAGACCAUCCAGCAAAGUGUGCCUCCAAAAGGACUUGGAAGAUAAACUGAAGUGGGUGAAAUGGGUCAGUGUUUCAAACAUUUUUUUUUUUGUCUACUGUUCUAUUUUUCAUUAAGUACAAGGAGACAUAACUGAACCAGAUGAACAUAUCUCAGUGCUCAAGGAAAAUCCUUUCCAUCCUUAUGAUUAAUUUGGUUUUCCUUCUAUUUUUUUAUUCCCUUCUUCUUUAUCUCUAAAAAUUUUAUUACAAAGAAAAAUGAGGAUCAGGGUAGAAAGGGGAAAAUAAGGAAAAAAAGCCCCACAUACAAAAGGGGACUAAGUACUUUGUUUUAAUUGAUAAAACAGGGUUCAUAAGUACAAUUCCAGCUUGUGUUAUUAAAUGCUUUCUAAUGCUUACAAAAUCAUAUAAUGUUUUAUGUUGGAAGGGACAUAAAAAAUUAUCUAGGUCCAAGGCAUUGAUGAAAUAACUGUACUGAUACAUCUUUUUUUUCCAGCUGGCAUCAAAAAGCAGUUGGGUCAGACCUUUAGUUUACUUGUGCCAUUGUGGAUGUCCCUAGUAGACUGAAGUGAGGCACCUUCUCCUGCAGUGAGGGCUGUGGGGCAACACCAGCUCUGGCACUGCUGCCCUCAGGAGCAUUAUGACAGUCCCGUGCCAUCUGGUGUUGUACCUAAAAUUCUAGCUUCAGAAAACAAAGUAAAUAUUGGAGAGUCUCAGCCUGCAUUAAAAUAAGACAGAAAGAUGGAUAUAGAAAAGGGAACAGAUUUGUUGUGAGGAAAAAAAAGAAAAGUAAUCAUGUUUGGUUGAGGAAUUUGAAAAACAGACCCAAGUGAAUAUUGAAGGCUUUGAAACCAAAAAGAGUGUGCAGUCGAGAUAGAGCUGAGAGUUUACAUUAUUAUAAAUAUUUUAAAAUUUGGUUUAUGCUAUUUAGAUUUAUGCUUGUAGUAGGCUGUGUUGAUGAAUUUAACAGAUUUGAAGUUCUAGAAUCUACUUUAGUGCUGCAUGGUUUGGUGUGAUGUUAGUCUAUUAUCACUGAGUUCAAAACAAUGGACGCCUCCCCUAGCUGGUCUGAGAAUUUUAAUCUUGAGUAAGUAACUUUGGAAAUCAGGUUUUUAGCCUUUUUAAUGUAAAAUAGAAAUAUCAACAUUUGUUAUUGUCUGAAAAGUGUUUUUCAGUUUUAUAUAAAAAUGACUCAUAUUUAAUUAUAAGCACCUUCAGUCUUUUUAGUCUCAUAAUUCUGUUCCCUGAUUCUUUACCAUGUGCAGCUCAUAGUGCUGCAGUGAGCUUUCACUGAUGCCAUAGCUAUAUUUCUUAAAAUUACACCAGUAAAAAUAAUCUUCUUUGGUAACAAACUGUGUAUUUUUUGCACUGGUUUUCAAGUCAAUACUCAUGCUAUUCUAAAAUGUAUUGUUAAUUUAUGUCUGAUAUCCCCCUCCUGCUGCCUUGCCUUUCCAUGGAUAAAGAUGAACAGGAGCUGGACUCUUGAAGAUUUGCAGUCAUUCUUUCAAGACUUAUUCCCAUGUUGCUGAGCCCCACCAAGGCCAAGCUGAGUCUCAUGCUAGCAUGAAUCAUCAACUGUAGUCUGGGAAACACAUAAUCUGUACACUAUGUCCCUAUCCUUGGGCAUAAGCUGCAAAAUUUAACUCUAAAAGUUGCUGAAAAGGUAGCUGGGUCUUUCACCAAAUCUGCUCAUUCAGACUCUGUACGUAUUGCUGAUGAACCUUGCUGUUGCGAUGGCAGAGGAUUCAAAGGAAACUGGCUUGUUAAUGGUUUAUUUGAAUCAAGAAAAGGAUAUUUUUGACCUGAAAUACUGUGCGUUACUUGUUCAACUGAUAAAAGAGGUUCCGUUGUAGCUACAAAUUAUCUAUUUUGUCCACAGUAAAAUAUAAACCACUUCUCUUGGAGGAAAAUACAGCACCAUAAAUAAUUAAAACUAUUCCAAUUGACUUUUUUGAUCAAUUUUAAUCUGAACUUAAAUCACAAUGGUCAGCUGUUUUAUUUAUUUUUUUAAUUACUGAUUAUUUAGAGAGAUUUCUCUAAGCAAUUACUAGUUAAUAUCCUUAAUAGCCAGUUUUACAUGUAGACCACUGCUAUGUUGCUUCUGGCCCUGCUUGAGAGAUAUAAUACACUCAGUAUCAGAUCACAUCCUGUAUGUCCCCAGUAUUAAAGAGAACAAAAUGAAAGUAAUAUGAAUUUCACUGAUAAGGACCACUUUUCCUAUGAUUAUAGUUCUAUCAAAAUGCACCAGCUAAUAUUAAACACAGCUUUACAUACCUUUGAAAUAAUGCAAUUAUAUAUGAGAAACCUUGCUUCUGCGGUUGAGACAACGAGAUCCGUCCCAUGAUCUUAUAGGGAGAAGUCCACUUUUUUGGAUCCAGAGAGGGUUUUUUCCUCUUCUUGGUAUUAUUGAAACUAUGUGAGACAACAGCCCUUUUUUUUCCUGGAGGCUUGCAGUUGUUCUGCCAGUGAUACUUGGGUUACAUAUUAAAUGACCUUGUGCAGGUUCCUGUUUUAUUGUAAUCAACCAUUUAGCAGCAGCUGGAUGGUAUAUUUAUGCUUCACAGUUAGCUGUUUUACUGACAUUAAAGAACUAUAGACCUUCUAUAUGCAUUAUUGUUUAUCAAACCAUGUUUGAAAAAAUGUGUCUACUGCUUUUUAUUGAUGGGAGUUUCUGGCUAACAGCACUUUAAAUAAGUGGAAAAUGCUCAGUUAUCACCCAAUGUGAACAGGAUCAAUAAUAGUUUAGUAGUGUCUGAUAAUUGCAGUGGCUGUUAUAUACAAGAGCUUGCAUCUUCUUGAGUGACUCUUAUCAAUCUAUUGUCCGCCAUCAUCUGAUAAUCAGACUGAAAAUAUAGUAGGGAAUUAUCCUUUUUUGAAUCUAGCUUGUGAAAAACAUUUGAAAUAAUGGUAAAAAAUUCUCAUUGUUCCACUCAGUGGGGAGAAAAAUUUAGUAUCUGGGUGACUAUGGUGAAAAAGGGACAAAAAAAAUCCAGUGUGCACUUGUUAAGUAGAAAAUUGUGUAUAGCACAAUUACAUGAGGGCAAAAUAUUUUUGCAAUAUUUGGAGAUGGUCUUAAAAUGUUUGCAGUUAUAUUCUGAAGGAGUCAUGACCCUCAGUUGCUCUCAGGACUAUGCUGGUGAUUAGAAGAGGAACCACAGGACAAGAUGGCAAGAAAGGUAUGCUAGAGUGCAGCAGAGUGCAGCUCUUGUUGCUUUGUUCCCAGGGGCAGCAGCAUCAUCCCUUCACAGCACAAGCAACCCAGUACUGUGACAGUGUGCGGCUUUUUGUGAUCCCUCCUGCUCUUGGAAGUAAUCGUGCUCUUGGACACAGAGUUCAUUUGCAAAGCCAGAAAUAUUCACCUCCCCUUCCCGUGGCUUUUUUUAAUACUCUAAUUAUCUGCUUCCUUAUGCUUCUCUCUUCAUUUGCCUUUCCCGGUUUUAAUUUAUAUUUUACCUUGUAACUUGCAAAAACACACACACACACACACAAAAAAAAAAAAAAAAAGCCUGACAACAUGCAGAAUUGCCAGGAAUCUGUCUGGGCACAGGUUUUCAUAUUGCUCUGCCCCAUUAGCUAAGAGAAUGCUUUGUCACUUUUUGCAUAUUUGUGCUAGGAAUUAAGAAAACUAACAAAUAAAUAAAGCAGUUAAAUUUUAUGUGUUUCUGUAGAUCAGGGGCUCUACAAGUAUGUUCUGUUACUAAAAGAACUUGAUGGUUGCUCUGCUGUCUACCAGCAUCAACAUCAUGUUUUCUUUGGGAUAAAUUUACAGCUUUGAUGUCUGUUUUAUCAGGCCACCUCCUUGGCAGACACAUAAGCUGGGGGUAGAAGCACAACCUUGCACUCUUGCUCCUUACUGUUAUACUUCUAAUUGCAAAUAGUAAAAAAAAAACAAACAAAAAAAACCCCCAAACAAACAAACAAAAAAAACCACAAAAAAGAAACAACCCAAAAAACCACCUAAUUCACAGGAAAUCAGAAAGUCUUAUAUUUUAACUUGUAAUUUCCCUCUUAAUUUACUAUUGUGCAUCUCUGAGAACAGGCUGCCUCCAUCUGCUCCAAGACCUCCCACUAGGGAGUUGUACAUAGUAAUAAGACCUUUACCUUUGUCAUCUUAAAGUCAAGCAAGCUGGCUCCUUUAGUAUCCCCUUGUACAUCAGGUGCUCCAGCCAACUGGCCAUUUUGGUGCCUCUGUGCUGGAAUUGCUCCUGUUAUGUCAAUGUCAUUCUUCUACCACUGAUGUGGUAGAACACUCACCUGUGCUGAGUAGAAGGGACAGAUCAGCUCCCUUGACCUGUGGGUUGUCCUCUUGCUUGUGCAACCCAAUAUUUAGUUGUUCUUCACUGCAAAGACUAACACCUCAAGUUCAAAUGAACAUGCUAUGUAUGAUGUGAGGGCAUAAAUUGUGUUCAAUUAUAUCUAGUCUUUGGCAGCAAGGUUGUGAUUUUUGAGAAUUUUUCAGAAGUAUUAUAUCAAGUCAUAUCCUAGACUACUGUAUUCAGAGUAUCUUAGUUUAGAACAUACUGAAUAAUUUUUGUAGAAAUCCUAAGUAAUAUAUAAGCCAAAAGCUUCAGUUACCCUGGUUAUACCGUCUUUAAUAAACUCUUUUGUCUACUUUUGAAUAAAAACUUGAUUUCUGCUAUAUGGCUUACGGUAUGAAAAUUUGAGUUAAAUACAGUAUUUUUGCACCUUGGCAUGCAAAUACCUUCUCUUCCUUUUAAUUUAUUUAAAAGGCAGUUUCAGACUUCAGUGUGGUCUGAUCUCCUGGGAAAUUCAGAAUACAAAGAAAUUACAACAACCUCAAUUCCCCAAGAAAGAACUUUUGACUGAGCAAAUAGGAAACUUAACCUCCCCUGUUUGACUCAGAAAGAUUCCAAACUGAUGAAUGUGGGUCUCUAUUCAGGUAGACAGCUUGGCUGCAUCCAGACCAGUUAAGUAACGGUUUUGCCUAGUCUUUUUAUCUUGUAAUGGAUUUUCCUCUAGUUCCUACUGAUUACAAUGAAAUUUCAUUUUUCCUCUGCAGCUUUGCCAUGGAAGGUGGGAGUAAGUUCCUUCUGGACCUAGUCUCUGUUCAUCCCAGAGCUGCAGUGCAAUAUUGAACUUACCUUCUCCCAUUUUUAAUCAAGGACUGCCAGUCUGUCUAAUGCAAGGCAUUGAACAAUCUGAGCAUGAAUAUGGGGUUUCAGCAGACCCAUACAACAAGCUGCCUUCAACCUCUAGGACCAGCCCUUUCUACCAUCUUUGUUGUCCAGUAUGUUGACAGCCUGAUCUCUGGUAUCCAGAAAGGCAAUGGAAGUGGUGCUCUUCUAUUUUAAAUCUGGAUAAGUGGGUGUCAAUUGUCAAUCUUACAACUGACCUCCAGGAUAAACACUAUAAUCUAAGAGCAUUGAAAGGUUUUCCAUUGUUCAUGUCCUUCACAGAACCUUCACUAAGCACAGAAUGGGUAGGUUGGAAGAGAUCUUAAAGAUCAUCUGGCUCUAACCCACCUGCCAUGCACAGGGAAAUGUUCCACAAAACCAGAUUGCUCAAAACCCAUCCAGCCUGGUCUUGUACAUCUCCAGAGAUGGGGCAUCUACAGCUUGUCUGGGGAACCUGUUCCAGUGUCUAAUCAUCUUCACAGUAAACAGUUACUUCCCAAUAUCUAAUUUGAACCUCCUCUCUCUCAGUUGGAAAUCAUGCCCCUUGUCUUAUCAUUGCCUUACAAUUCUCAUGCCCUUGUAAAGUGUCUCUCUCCAGCUUUAGGGCAGAAUAGGCUAUGAAAGUAACCCCAAGACCCCUCUGAGUUAAUAGUUUCCCUUUUAUGACAGGGUGCAGUUGACAAUAUAAAAAUGAAGCUAAACUAGAACUGGGUAAAGGUUUUUAUGCUAAAGGCCUAAAGGAAACAUAAAUAGUCUUAAGGAGCUAUUCCAGGUUUUAACAAUUUCAUGAAAGCGGUCAUGAAAGCAGUAAAUGGUAAUUUUACAAUUAUUACUUUUAGAAUAGGGAUUUCUCCCUGGCACUGGCACCUUUGUUUGCUUGUUUGUUUAGAAAUGGGAAGCUCCUUUAACAGAGGUGAUGCACAACAGGACACUGGCUGACAUCCAGAUAUGUUACAAUCAUAUAUUCUGUCUAUAAUUAAAAUUUUCUUUCAGAACUCAUAGUAUCCAGAAGAGGUUUUAGUGGAAGUUUCUUUAGGUAAGUUUAUAGAUGUUUAUCAGUAAACAAAAAUGCAUUCUAUUUAGGUGACUAAUCUUUUCAACAACUCUUAUGUCCAUUUUUAGAAUCUAAUCCCCUGAGAUAUAGCAUUAAUUUAUUUCACCUGGUCUAAGGUCUGGGGCAGGUUUUUUUUAGUUUUUCUUUGCUUUGUUUUUUGAAUUUGGGAAGCUAUGAAACUGCCCCUCAUGUUCUUUACAUGACUAUUAUUUAUCACUUAUUAAUGCUCCAUCAGCCCCUUUUUCCAGAGUUGUGGUGUGCACUGGAGCACUGCUCCCUUACUCAUGGCAUUUCUUACAGAAGAUAGAGUUGGAAUAUCUCUAUCCAGCUUUACUCCAAGUUGGUACUGAAGAUUGCCAUUUCUUAGGCACCGUUCACCAUCCAGCUUGACAUCCGCUGAGAGAGUUUCCUGCAGCUGCAGUUAAUAUUCUGGUUAAUUUAUUUAUUUAUAAUUCUGGCUGCUCAACAAAUGGCAAGAUCAGACAGAUUUGCUAUGGAGUCUCCCAGUAAAACACCAAUAUUAAGAAGUUAGAUGUGUCCUUGUGUGAGGUUUCACCAUAACUAAAGUACUGUGUAGCAUUUAGGGCUCACAGAAAACAUCACAGAAAUUUAAUUUUUUUGCAAGCAGACUCGUUCAGAGCAAAACUGGGUCUGGAUACAGCUUCUGUUACUUUUAGUUUUCAACUGAUUUGCAGCAGGGAGAAUGUGUAACUAUCUCAAACAACUAUAGGUUAAAAAAAUUCAAGGAAAACAUAUUCUGUUUUGUCACACAUAUUCCAUUGAUACAUGAAGUAAUAUACCUUUGUGAAGCAGGUGCAUACACUAAUGGGAGCUGUAACUGUUGAUUUCUCUGUUUCUGUCACCAUUAUAUUAUUACUUAAUCACAGCUUUUUGUGUCAAAUUUACCCAAGAGUAUUUUUAAUAGAAGCAUAAAAGAAAUUCAGUUCUGGGUAUGAAAAGAAAAGGAAUUGGGGUCCAGUCUCUUUAGCAAAUAUUCUAUAACAAGCUAAUUCUUUAAAGGCAUUUCACAUAGUUCUGAGAGAAUUAAACAAAUGCUUCAGGAUAAUUCUGGUCUUUCAGAUAAAUACACAGUUACAUAUGAUUUACAUUAGGUGAUGUUAGUUUACAUAUGAAGAUAGUUGAAGCAUUCCCAAGGAGUAAGAACAGAUCUGUAUAACUGAAGAGACUUUUACCAAGCCCAUGCUCCCCACCAUUAAACAAUAAACGAGAAAUAAUGUGUUAGAGCUUUUGUGAUAUGUUUGAGAGCCUUUCUUACAAAUUAUGAAUAAAGUUAACUGCUACUCAUUCUCAUGCAUGCUAUGAAGUUUUUGGACACCAAUAUAUCAAGGUUUUUCACAUGACAGCAUACUAGUAUAUGUAUAUAAUUAACAUUCACGAGACACAAAUAAAUAUAUCUAAGAACAAAUAGGUAAUUGAUUUUUUAAACUGAAGAGUUAAAAAAGUAAAUAGAAUCAUUAUUAAUACAUCGAGUUUUGGAUUUGUGAAAUAAAAAUUAGGAAUGUCCUAUUAAUGAAGUGUGGGAAGAAUUUUCUUGCUACAUCAUUUUUUUAAAUAAAGUUUUUAUUUGCAUAUAUCACAGAAUCAUUUAGGAUGAAAAAGACUUCAAUAUCAUUGAGUACAACCUUUUAUUGAUCAUUACCUCAUAAACUAGACCAUGGCACUAAGUGCCACAUCCAGUUGAUUCUUGAGCACUGCCAGGGAUGGCAACUCCACCACCUCCAUGGGCAGCCCAUUCCAAAGUUUAACACACCUUUCUGUGAAGAAAUUCUUGCUAAUAUCCAACCUGAACCGCCCCUGGUGCUACUUAAGACUAUGUCCUCUCAUCCUGUAAUUAGCUGCCUGGAAGAAGAGUCUGAGCCCCACCUGGCCACAAUCUUCUUUCAGGUGGUUGUAGAGGAUUGAUAAGGUCUCCUCAGAGCUGUCUUUUCUGUAGGAUAAACAACCCCAGCCCCCUAGAUAUGCUUAUUCCUGGCAUGCCUUAAUAUUAUUUAAGAUGCACAAAGAGCACAAAAGUGGUGGGAACAAUGGUAAGUUUGGGGUUUUUUCCUGAAAAGCAGCAUAGCAGAUAAAUGAAUGGACAAUAAUGAGUCUUUCCAAGCCAUUCCAAAAGCCUUUCUUCAAUGGAUUCACUCCUUUAAUAUGAGUGAAGAUGUACCAGGUGAAUAAAGGCUGUAGGAAUGACUCCCCUUUGACAGCAACAUGUCUAAGAGACCUCUCCCUCAGUGCUGCCAUAAUGAAAAUAUGUUUUCUUUUUGGCACAUCUAAUUACCUGUUUAUACUUUGCAAAUCAUUCUGAGAGAAUUUUUUUUCUUUAUGCUGGCACCAGGGACAUUUUCCUAAAAAUGUUUAAAACUGUGCAUCUGAUACAGAAUAUGGAUAUCAUUGUGAUACAAUCAAAAAUUAUGCUCUACAACAUGACAUGUAUCAGUACAUCAUAACUUGUGUUUAUAAUAUAGUCAACCACUCUACCUAGUCUUGACAGUUGAGGUUGCCACUUCUAUUUCAAAUGAGAGGCAAACCUGACAGAUGAGUUAGGAGCAAGCCUCUUAGCCACUUGCUUCCUGAACUUUGUAUUUGCAGAAAUAAAAGAUACAGGGCUGUUUGAAUUAAUGAGAUGUCCAGUCUAAAUGCAAUCACUAAAAUUAGAAGACAAACUAGGAAUCAUGUAUGAUAUAAUGGUCUUUUGUUUUUUCCCACUUGCUCUCCUGCACUGACUUGAAUGGUUUGUGUAAUGAAGGAUAAUUUUAUUUUUAUUAUUAGUAGCAGUUUAAAUAGAUAAAUGGUAUUCUCUGCUUAUUCAUGUAUUUUGUUUAUAGGAGAGUGAAACUUUCAGGGUUAAAGGUGGUCUAUGUCUUCAAUAUUUCUUGACCAGACAUAAAUAUGAAUAUAUGUGCAUUGCUGUAUGUAGGGUCCUCCUCUUUUAAGACAUCACAAUUUCUUAAUGAGAAGACCAGAAAACCCCCAGAAAAAUACAGGACCACCCAAUGAAGGUCUCAGAUUUUAAGAGAAGUGUAGUUUCAGAUUUUUUUCUACUUCUUUUGUUAUAACCACAUAUACCUGACACAGGUACAGUAUUGAUUUGCCUACUGGUGGUGAAGCUGUUUUUUUGUUCAUCUAGUGGUUGUGUUACCCUAAAGCUGCAUGCCAGUUCAUCAAAAUCAAUUCUCUUUUGAUUUUUGCAACAGCAGAGAUGGGUCAGCUAGCAAUUGACAAAGAGCCCUAUUCAUGACAAAGCGAUUGUUACGUUGCAAGUACAAUUUUGUAGGAACUUAACAAAAAAAGCGCAAGAACACUAUUUUACUGCAUCCUUUACUGUCUCACAUGAUUUCUCAGACCUCUCAAAUGUCCAUAAUGCAGUGUUCAGAUUAGGCUAGUCACCUUCUUAAAGACAAACACACUAGGCUCAAUAGAGUAUAUAUUUUAAAUAAAAAAAAAGUUCUUAAUUUAAAUGUAUUUCCUAAAAUUUUGCAAUAAAUCCAAAAACACCUUAACUGACCAAACAAAACUUACUCCACAUUACUCACAAUAUUAUCUUCUAUUUAUUUUAAUGACUUAGAACUAACUAUACAGGUGAGGGAGGAGACACUGAUUCACUGUCAACUGGUCGUAUCUUCUGUUGAGCAACUGCAAAUGCCCCUUGAAAGACUGGCUUGACUGACUGCAAAGCUCAGAGAGAAUCAAGAUCUGCUUGAUAAUUUUGCAGAGAUUUUUACCAGCUCAGUGCUGACAACUGACGCAAAUGUAUGAAUUAGAGGGAGGUAUGAAUUAACAUUUUCAGGAAACAAAAUUUUAAAGCUGACAUUUUUUCCUGAAUGAGAGUUUGUAUUUGAGCAAAACUGUGCUCACACAGACCAUAGAUGUCUCUCUUUGUAGACAUUUAUCAGAUGAAUGGCAAAUCUGCACAUAAAAAUCCAGUUUAAACACUUCAACUUAGACACAAACAAAUGCGAAAGUUUUCCAUGGAAUGGGCGUGUCCUUACUUGUAUCCAUAUGUAGAAUAUCCUGGGCAGUUUUAGCUCUGUUGCACUGCGGUAGUUAAAUUCAAAUUUGGAAAACUGAUGACUUACUGAUUGGAAGCUUUUGUUUUGGAGUAGCUUUUGGAUGCCACAGAGUUUAAAGAGUUGCCCUUGGGAUCUCUGUUUUCAAUAUCCUGGUGUAGUGUUUUAGGAAAGCAAGGAUUUAGCAAGCUGAUUGAGCUGGGUCCUUGUCUCUGAUGGUUAACUUUUGUCUCAAGCUGAGAUACUGUCACCUACUCGAUAACUAGUAGCUAACUAGUAGCACAAUUGUGCCUAAGACUGACAUGCUUGGAAGAGUUUUGUGCCUAGGAAGUUCUUUAAUCAAGUUUUCUUAGCUUUUUUCUCCAGCUGAGCUUUUUUCUUCAAAGAAUGAUCAAUAUUUAUUUAGCUGUAAUGUGGGACAGAAAAGCCUUUCUUGUUAUUGACUUGUCUGAGAGCAGUUUGUAGAUAUUGCCAGGCUGGUGAAGAAUACUUUUGGAAGUAUUGAAGGGGGAAGCAUACAGCUUCUGGUCAGAGGCAGCCUCCAGCUCUGUGGGCUGUUUUGCAAAGUCUUUUCCUUCUCAAUAUAGUCAAAGGGUUUCCAAGUGCAGAUCUAGCUCUCCCCAUCUGCACUGGUGGCCAAGACGUGUUUCUGGGACAUGUAACAUGAUGGGGGCUGUGGGACAUGCUGGCACUCUCAUUGAAAUUGGACUGCAUCUACCCCAAAUGUUCUCUAUCUCCAGAAGUCCAAAGAUAAGGCAACUAUUAGACCACUCUGGGCUUGUUCUUGUCAGGGUUUUUAAAAUGGCUGAAUAACUCAGAAGCAACUGCUGUUCCUCAGCCAAAGGGUAUAAAUAUACAAACAGUGACAGCAUUAUGUCUGUAUGGAUGUAUGAUUUGCAUUUAGAUUUAUGUAAACAGCUGUGGAAAUUUUGUUGGCACUCGGCUUUCAGUAGGUUACUGGUAUGGCUCAGGGAGUUGCAAAGUUUGAAAAAGACAUACUUUAGUUAGUUCCUUUAGUCACAGAAGUAACUCUUGUCUGCUUAGCCAAUAAAAUUGGUCACUAUUCAUUUUAAUUUUUUUUGCAAGAUGUUAAAAAAUUUCCCCCAGUAAGAUUCUCAAAUCUGUUUGGUUUUAGACCCAGUAGUAUCAAGCAUGCAUGUGGCUUUUUGUUGGUUUUGGUGGUUUUUUUUUUGGUUUUGUUUUUGUGUUUUUGUUUUUUUUUUUUUUUAACUUGUGCACCUGUGCAUAUUCUUGUGUGUUUUAGUUUAUAUGCACAGAAACAUCAAUUUACUGAUCUCUUCUUCAGAGGGAUUUGGUGUCAGUAUCUAGGACCAUUUAGGGACAACCUUUUCACAGCUCUUUAAGCACAGAAUAAAAAGCCUUAUUGAUUCUACUGAAACACAUAAGACAUGGCUAUUAUUAUUACAUAUCUAUUUAUCCUCUGGUGUUACAUUUGUCUUACAGACAACUCUCUUUAACUGAGGUGUUGUCCAGAUAUCUAGCAAAAAUCAUUGCUCCUGGAGAUGUGCUACUAUUUGUGCACUCUGCUUCAAUCUUGUUCCUGAUAUGAAUGGGAAUAUCACAUUAACUUCAUUUGCAACAGACUGAGCCUCCAAGGCUUGGUUGAAUAUAUAUUUUAAUGUUCCCUUGGGAAUUGUACAGCUUUGAUGUGCCUUUUCCUUAGGACUACUUUAAGGUCAUAAUAUCUACCAGUAUUUAAUCAGAGUUGAUGCAUUCCCAUUGACUACGAAAUAUUUUCUGAAAUGCUUAAUAACAUUUGUUUCUUCUCUGAUAAAAUGUCCAAGUGCCAUUCCUUUUCUCUGGCACACAAGUGAAUCAACUUGGGAUCUGCAUGGUGCAGAGGUUCUGGGAGUAUAUAAGGGCAUUUUUUUUUUUCUCCCAGCAGUCUCCUUCUGGGGAGUUUGUCGGUUUGCAAGCUAUAAUGAGUAGUAGGUUAAAAGAAAAAGGGCAUUUUAGUGGAGGAGGGAAUUAAAAUUCAGCAGCCUAAUAUCAGCAGUAGUUUAUAACAGGGCCUUAAAAGGCAGCUCUGUGUCUUUUAUUUUUGUGUGUGCACUUUUAUUUCCUUUGAUAUCAGCAGGGGAAUUUUCUCUGCAAGACCCAUUCCCAUCUCACUUUUCUGCUUUCAGAUCCCUGCUGCUCAGGGUUUUCUCCUUUCAUUUUGAUAUAUGUUAUAUUCUUCAACCUUCCCACUUGAAGAUUGUAGGAAGCUCGAUAUUGCCCUUAAAAUAGAGAACACAAUUGACGUCAAAACUUCUUCAAGGAGUGGCCCUGUUUUUCAUAUAUGUUGAAAAGAAUCCUUCCACUUUCUGGGAGGUCUUGGCAGUGGUUGAGGUGAAAUCUUCAAGACAUUUCACUAUGUCUAAUGAAAAUUGUACUAGAAAGGUUAACUUGCUGCUUGCAGUUUGAUUUCUACCAUAUCUUUAACAAGAAUGCAUUUGUGUGUUCUGUAAUUACACAAUAAUAAGACAAAAUUAUGGAUUUAUAUAUAUACAUCUAUCUCUAAUGCUGCUAUUGAUAUUUAAAAAUAUGUUGUAAUGAAUUGCUGCUCAGAUCUUUGCCUUCCAUGCAAUGUGACGAGCUCCCUAGUUUAAUUUUAAGUCAGUUCUUUUCUGUAUUUCCAAAGGCAGACUAAAAAAACAGUUAGGUAAUUCUGCAUAAGUGGGGAAUUUCUUUCUAGAUGCUGAUGAUAGUGUGAUUAACAGGUCACAAACAGAAAUGGGUUUGAACCUCCCAUGCCAAUUCCCUCAAACUAUUUACUGGCUCUUUUUGGCUUUUUGGUGACCCCAAGGCGGGCUGGGAAGCAGCAUGCCAGGGAGGAAUGUGGUUAUCCCACACAACAUCCAGCACUGGCCUCCGGUGCAUUUCUGGCUGCUACAAAUAGAUGGCACUUUUGACUUGUACUACAGCAAUUCAGUGAGAAGGAUGCAAUGCCUGAAAAAAACCCCACUUGCCGGGGUUUUUGUAAGUCAGGCACAUAUUUGUUAUUACUUAUAUGGGGGCAAAAGAAAUGAGGCAGAUUCAAAUAGACUGCCAUGUAUAUCUCAGGUAAUGAAAGCUUAAAAAUACAAAAAACUAAACAAUAGAAUUGGCAAAUCAAGUACAUUUAUAAUAUUUUCAGACUCCUCCUCUGGAUUUUCAGGGCAAGGUGGAAGAGAAUUAUCUUUUAAUACUGAGUUGCUUUAAAUGUGAACAAGGCAAUUGCCACAAAAGUCUCUUAUUUGCUGCUUCUCUGGUCUACACGUGUGCACACAGAGACACACAUACACACGGGGGAAAAAAUCAGCCUGUUGUCUUGCAAGUGUUACUUAUCAUAUUAAUUAAAAUCUGGUGACACGAUAACACCAGCAGCUGUGUGGGAAAGCGAGGGAAAUUAACAAACGUUUGAUUUGUUGUGUUGCUAAUGUGACACUUAUUAUACAGGUCACAGUAAAACAAUACCUCAGCCAAAAUAUGCUAAUACUGGUGGAGAACUGUUGCAGUUGUAAAAACAUUGAUGUUUAUUAUAAUGAGACAAAAUAGCACAUUACCUUUAGCAGAGUGAAUUGCUGCUUCUCAGGGUAAGCAUAAACUAUCUCUGAAGGUUUAAUAAUUAAAAAAAACCCAAAACCACAGAGACAGAAUAAAGUGAAAUUGUUAUACAUACAAAGCCAGUAAAAAGAAGACAACCUCAUGUAUGAAAAGGAUGUAAAGCUCUUAGAAAGCAAAAUAUGUAAUUUCUAGUGGACACAGAUUAAAUGGAGCAUGCCUACAGCUUCUUAAUUUAACAUUCCAAAGAACUUUAUUACAAGAACAAAAGAAAAUUGUUUCAUAAGAUACAAGUUAUGCUAUAAAAUACAUGUAGAACUGGAAAUGUAAUUACAUUUAAAAAUGGAUGUAUUAACUACUCUUUUUCCCCUGAGGAAAACUAAUAUGUAAACUUAUUUAUAAUGGUGGCUUAUAUCCAAUCAACCGAUUUGAUGACAUUUCUAAACAAAGACCUUUGGACUUUAAAUAAUUAUUCCCAUGCAGUUGUUGGAUCACAUAUAAUUGCUUGCUCUUUAGUGCUUCUUCACAAAUUUAAUUGCACUAUAGUCUGUAUAUGAAAGCAUUUUCUAUAUAUAGAUACAUAAAUAAAUUUACAGAAUUCAAUUCUGAAAUAGGAUAAAUUUUUUCCACAACUGAAGUAAAAUUAAGUCUAUGCAUUCAGCAUUUUGCAGCUAUUUACAUCUUAACAAGAAUAAUUUAAUUUUUACCUUUUCAAAGAUUUCUUUCAUUUUCAGGCUAUUUUCUCAAAUUUCAUACCAUAUUUUUGAACCCAAGGAAGGAUUUUUAUUUUUUUUUUCUUACUGUUGUUUUGAUCAUUUUACUGAAAUGGGGUGAAGUCAACCAUUUGUUUGACAGUCUUUGACAGCAGAUUAUGUAGAUUUUGCCAGACAGAACAGUAGUCAUUCGGAACUGAAUUCCGAGUGAGCAGUCUAGAUCAGAGGUCAGCCUGCGGGGUACAAAUGGGGAACAGAUAUUUCACCUUGCCAUAUGAAAGGACACAAAAAAGCAGAUAAAUCAGGAACUGGUGAGAACUAAAAGGUUAAAGCAGAGUUGAUGCAAUUACACAAUAUUUACAGCCUAAGAUUGUGCUAAAGUCCUUUUGAACCUCCUGCCCCUCCAGUUCAUGGAGGAAGAGGGCUCUGAUUUGGAAGCAUUCCCUGAAGAAGUGUAAGCACACUCUUUAAAGAUCUGCUCUGUGCCUAAAUGCUAAAAUAUAUCUGUCCUCACUUACAUUUCCCAUCAUUCACCUUGGUUUUAUUUUCAAAUGGGUAUCAAAGUACCUAUGUCCACAUGCCAGAAAAUAGUUCCCUAUCACUCCCCUUUUUCAGAAUAAUUCCAACAAUGGGGGGGAAGGGGGGGGGGAGAAGAAUGAAGAAAGCUAUCUAGGGCAACACUCAGGUAUAGAACCUGGGGAGAAGACAUUUUGACUUUUUAGAUGAAAAUUGCCAUGUUCAAAUAUGUAAUACUGAAAUAUUAUUAGAGGCAAAAAAAAAAUAUUAGAGGAAAAAACUCAAACAAACCCAGAACAGUGUUCUAUAUUUAUUCCUAACUGGACCAUGACAGAAAUUAAGCCGAUUUUCAAAUAUUUAAGCUCUCAACAAAUACUGUUUUUUUCCUUUUAGUGAUCACUAGUAACAAUUACAUAUACAAAACAAAACUUGCAUAAGCAUUUUAGUUACAUUUAAAAAGAUAAUAAAUACUAAAUCAAAAAGGUGGUUUGUUUUCAUUUUUUUACUUCUGAAUUACUUGGUGAUCACUUUCAGAGAAAAAUUACUGUAACAUUUCUUACUUAGCCUUAUCUAUGACAAUCAUUCUUUUAUUAAUGUUGCCCAAAAUAUAGAAAAAGACAAGGAAGAAGAGGUUAAAGAAAUUCCAGAAAGCUCUGGAGGGUUUUUUUGGAGAUUCAAGUUCUGAGGAUUUUUUUUUGGAGAAUCUGUAUAAAUUAGACGGAGCUUUAGUGAAAAUCUCCACCUUAUACAAGUAUGAAAGGAUGUCUCUACAUGUUCAGAGAGGUUAAGGAUAUCUGAAUCAGUAACAGAGAUGCCAAGAGAACAAUUUAAAUCUACUAAGUAACUAAAAUCCUAAAACCAUUACGUGGGGAAAAAAGAGAGAGAGAGAAAAAAGAAAACACUUAAGGCUGAUGAAAUAUCAAGGUUUAUUAUUCUAUUAGACUUUGACAAUGAAAUGAAAUACACAGACCUUUAACAAUGUUAUUAAAAUAAAAUUUCAAAGCUUGAUUUUUCAAUCAUGCAGUCAAAGAAAGGAAGACAUUUUACAGUCAUAUCCUGUAGAGUAUAGGAAAGUUCUCUGUCAAAGCUGUGUAACAUUUUGAUUAAGUGCUUGAUAGAUUAUAAAUAUAAGUCAGAGCUAGCAAGACACUGAAAUAAAUGGAUCGUCUAAGAAUGACUUGUGAUCAAUU